Molecule: ribosomal RNA, 433 nt
Filed under: uncultured bacterium
Lineage: Bacteria
Description: partial 16S ribosomal RNA
Rfam family: Bacterial small subunit ribosomal RNA
Source: RNAcentral
AACGAACGCUGGCGGCAUGCCUAACACAUGCAAGUCGAACCAUCGCUCCGGGGAUAGUGUCGCACGGGUCCGUAACCGGUGGGAACCUGCCCUUAGACUCGGAAUAACGCAGGGAAAUUUAAGCUAAUAGCGGUUAAUGUCUUGGGACCAAAGAUUUAGCGCCUGUGGAUGGGCGCGCGUUGUAUUAGCUAGGUGGUGGGGUAAAUGCCUACCAAGGCGACGAUCCAUAGCUGGUCAGAGAGGAUGAUCAGACACACUGGUAGUGAGACACGGCCCAGACUUUUAGGGGAGGCAGCAGUGGGGAAUAUUGGAAUAUGGGCGAAAGCCUGAUGCAGCAAUGCCGGGUAAGUGAUGAAGGCCUGAGGGUUGUAAAGCUCUCUUACCUAGGAUGAUAAUGACAGUACCGGGAGAAGAAGCACCGGCUAACUCCGUG